Molecule: ribosomal RNA, 482 nt
Filed under: uncultured bacterium
Lineage: Bacteria
Description: partial 16S ribosomal RNA
Rfam family: Bacterial small subunit ribosomal RNA
Source: RNAcentral
AUUGAACGCUGGCGGCAUGCUUUACACAUGCAAGUCGAACGGUAACAGGCCGCAAGGUGCUGACGAGUGGCGAACGGGUGAGUAGUGCAUCGGAACGUGCCCAGUCGUGGGGGAUAACUACUCGAAAGAGUAGCUAAUACCGCAUACGAUCUAUGGAUGAAAGCGGGGGACCGUAAGGCCUCGCGCGAUUGGAGCGGCCGAUGUCAGAUUAGGUAGUUGGUGGGGUAAAGGCUCACCAAGCCAACGAUCUGUAGCUGGUCUGAGAGGACGACCAGCCACACUGGGACUGAGACACGGCCCAGACUCCUACGGGAGGCAGCAGUGGGGAAUUUUGGACAAUGGGCGCAAGCCUGAUCCAGCAAUGCCGCGUGCAGGAAGAAGGCCUUCGGGUUGUAAACUGCUUUUGUACGGAACGAAACGGCUCUGGUUAAUACCCGGGGCUAAUGACGGUACCGGAAGAAUAAGCACCGGCUAACUACGUG